GGAGAUCUUUUGUGAUGAGAAGCUGAAGAUCAUUUUUGAUGGAAAAGAGAAAGUUGGAUUCCUGGAGAUUGGAAAGUUGCUAUCACGCCAUUUUGUGAAGACUGGUUAAAUGUCAUUGUUGGGUGUUUAAUUUAUGGCUUGACUCUUCGUGGAGCCGGCUCUAGACUACUAAUCUUGAAUCUAUGUGCUGUAAUGUUGAUGGUUUCCUGUUGUUUUAGAGCCUGGCCAGGCUUUUAUGGAUUG
RNAcentral lists this unclassified non-coding RNA (243 nucleotides) under Hevea brasiliensis (rubber tree). Lineage: Eukaryota; Viridiplantae; Streptophyta; Magnoliopsida; Malpighiales; Euphorbiaceae. The record is from RNAcentral.